GUGGGGAAUUUUGGACAAUGGGGGCAACCCUGAUCCAGCCAUGCCGCGUGAGUGAAGAAGGCCUUCGGGUUGUAAAGCUCUUUCGGCCGGGAAGAAAUCGCGCCAGCUAAUACCUGGUGUGGAUGACGGUACCGGAAGAAGAAGCACCGGCUAACUACGUGCCAGCAGCCGCGGUAAUACGUAGGGUGCGAGCGUUAAUCGGAAUUACUGGGCGUAAAGCGUGCGCAGGCGGCUCUAUAAGACAGAUGUGAAAUCCCCGGGCUUAACCUGGGAACUGCGUUUGUGACUGUAGGGCUUGAGUGCGGCAGAGGGGGGUGGAAUUCCACGUGUAGCAGUGAAAUGCGUAGAGAUGUGGAGGAACACCGAUGGCGAAGGCAGCCCCCUGGGUCGACACUGACGCUCAUGCACGAAAGCGUGGGGAGCAAACAGGAUUAGAUACCCUGGUAGUCC
RNAcentral lists this ribosomal RNA (450 nucleotides) under uncultured Denitratisoma sp. RNAcentral's name for it is "bacterial SSU rRNA". It matches the Rfam family "Bacterial small subunit ribosomal RNA", at positions 354 to 796 of the family's 1533-position model. Lineage: Bacteria; Pseudomonadati; Pseudomonadota; Betaproteobacteria; Nitrosomonadales; Sterolibacteriaceae. The record is from RNAcentral.